This 371-nucleotide ribosomal RNA is filed under the name uncultured crenarchaeote. RNAcentral describes it as "bacterial SSU rRNA". It matches the Rfam family "Archaeal small subunit ribosomal RNA", at positions 268 to 643 of the family's 1478-position model. Lineage: Archaea; Thermoproteati; Thermoproteota. The record is from RNAcentral.
GCGGGCCGUGAGAGCGGGAGCCCGGAGAUGGGCACUGAGACAAGGGCCCAGGCCCUACGGGGCGCAGCAGUCGCGAAAACUUUGCAAUACACGAAAGUGUGACAGGGCUAUCCCGAGUGCCAUCCGCUGAGGAAGGCUUUUACCCAGUCUAGAAAGCUGGGGGAAUAAGGAGAGGGCAAGUCUGGUGUCAGCCGCCGCGGUAAUACCAGCUCUCCGAGUGGUGUGGAUGUUUAUUGGGCCUAAGCAUCCGUAGCUGGCUAAGUUAGUCCCUUGUUAAAUCCACCGAAUUAAUCGUUGGAUUGCGGGGGAUACUGCUUAGCUAGGGGACGAGAGAGGCAGACGGUAUUUCCGGGGUAGGGGUGAAGUCCUAU